AGUGGCGGACGGGUGAGUAAUGCAUAGGAAUCUGCCCAGUAGCGGGGGACAACUUAGGGAAACUUAAGCUAAUACCGCAUACGCCCUACGGGGGAAAGCAGGGGAUCUUCGGACCUUGCACUAUUGGAUGAGCCUAUGUCUGAUUAGCUAGUUGGUAGGGUAAAAGCCUACCAAGGCGACGAUCAGUAGCUGGUCUGAGAGGACGACCAGCCACACUGGGACUGAGACACGGCCCAGACUCCUACGGGAGGCAGCAGUGGGGAAUAUUGGACAAUGGGGGCAACCCUGAUCCAGCAAUGCCGCGUGUGUGAAGAAGGCCUGCGGGUUGUAAAGCACUUUUAGUGGGGACGGAAACUUGCAGGUUAAUAACCUGUGAGCCUGACUUAACCCACAGAAAAAGCACCGGCUAACUCUGUGCCAGCAGCCGCGGUAAUACAGAGGGUGCGAGCGUUUAUCGGAAUUACUGGGCGUAAAGGAUGCGUAGGUGGUUCGAUAAGUCAGUUGUGAAAUCCCUGGGCUUAACCUGGGAAUUGCAUUUGAUACUGUCAAGCUAGAGUGUGGUAGAGGUAAGCGGAAUUCNCGGUGUAGCGGUGAAAUGCGUAGAUAUCGGGAGGAACAUCAGUGGCGAAGGCGGCUUACUGGACCAACACUGACACUGAGGCACGAAAGCGUGGGUAGCAAACAGGAUUAGAUACCCUGGUAGUCCACGCCCUAAACGAUGUCGACUAGC
Molecule: ribosomal RNA, 730 nt
Filed under: uncultured bacterium
Lineage: Bacteria
Description: bacterial SSU rRNA
Rfam family: Bacterial small subunit ribosomal RNA
Source: RNAcentral